RNAcentral lists this ribosomal RNA (279 nucleotides) under uncultured bacterium. Its description in RNAcentral is "partial 16S ribosomal RNA". It matches the Rfam family "Bacterial small subunit ribosomal RNA", at positions 506 to 784 of the family's 1533-position model. The record is from RNAcentral.
UGCCAGCCGCCGCGGUAAUACGGAGGGGGUUAGCGUUAAUCGGAAUUACGGGGCGUAAAGCGCGCGUAGGCGGAUUGGAAAGUUGGGGGUGAAAUCCCGGGGCUCAACCCCGGAACUGCCUCCAAAACUGCCAGUCUAGAGUUCGAGAGAGGUGAGUGGAACUCCAAGUGUAGAGGUGAAAUUCGUAGAUAUUUGGAAGAACACCAGUGGCGAAGGCGACUCACUGGACCGGUAUUGACGCUGAGGUACGAAAGCGUGGGGAGCAAACAGGAUUAGAUA